RNAcentral lists this ribosomal RNA (253 nucleotides) under uncultured bacterium. RNAcentral's name for it is "partial 16S ribosomal RNA". It matches the Rfam family "Bacterial small subunit ribosomal RNA", at positions 524 to 776 of the family's 1533-position model. The record is from RNAcentral.
UACGGAGGGGGCUAGCGUUGUUCGGAAUUACUGGGCGUAAAGCGCGCGUAGGCGGCUUUGCAAGUUAGAGGUGAAAGCCCGGAGCUUAACUCCGGAACUGCCUUUAAAACUGCAUCGCUAGAAUUGUGGAGAGGUGAGUGGAAUUCCGAGUGUAGAGGUGAAAUUCGUAGAUAUUCGGAAGAACACCAGUGGCGAAGGCGACUCACUGGACACAUAUUGACGCUGAGGUGCGAAAGCGUGGGGAGCAAACAGG